RNAcentral lists this ribosomal RNA (450 nucleotides) under uncultured Glomus. Its description in RNAcentral is "SSU rRNA". It matches the Rfam family "Eukaryotic small subunit ribosomal RNA", at positions 569 to 1024 of the family's 1831-position model. The record is from RNAcentral. Lineage: Eukaryota; Fungi; Glomeromycota; Glomeromycetes; Glomerales; Glomeraceae.
AGCAGCCGCGGUAAUUCCAGCUCCAAUAGCGUAUAUUAAAGUUGUUGCAGUUAAAAAGCUCGUAGUUGAACUUCGGGAUCAAUGGAUUGGUCAUGCCGAUGGUAUGAACUGGUCAUAUUGGUUCUCACCUUCUAAGGAACCAUGAUGUCAUUUAUUUGAUGUUGUGGGGAAUUAGGACUGUUACCUUGAAAAAUUAGAGUGUUUAAAGCAGGCUAACGCUUGAAUACAUUAGCAUGGAAUAAUGAAAUAGGACAUCGCAUUCUAUUUUGUUGGUUUCUAGGAUCGAUGUAAUGAUUAAUAGGGAUAGUUGGGGGCAUUAGUAUUCAAUUGUCAGAGGUGAAAUUCUUGGAUUUAUUGAAGACUAACUACUGCGAAAGCAUUUGCCAAGGAUGUUUUCAUUAAUCAAGAACGAAAGUUAGGGGAUCGAAGACGAUCAGAUACCGUCGUAGU